Molecule: ribosomal RNA, 247 nt
Filed under: uncultured bacterium
Lineage: Bacteria
Description: partial 16S ribosomal RNA
Rfam family: Bacterial small subunit ribosomal RNA
Source: RNAcentral
AUACGGAGGAUCCAAGCGUUAUCCGGAUUUAUUGGGUUUAAAGGGAGCGUAGAUGGAUUUUUAAGUCAGUUGUGAAAGUUCGGGGCUCAACCCCGUAAUUGCAGUUGAUACUGGAUAUCUUGAGUACAGUUGAGGUAGGCGGAAUUCGUGGUGUAGCGGUGAAAUGCGUAGAUAUUAGGAGGAACACCAGUGGCGAAGGCGGCUUACUGGACUGUAACUGACACUGAGGCACGAAAGCGUGGGGAGC